UGGUUGACCUCGGAUCAGGUAGGGAUACCCGCUGAACUUAAGCAUAUCAAUAAGCGGAGGA
RNAcentral lists this ribosomal RNA (61 nucleotides) under Oidiodendron truncatum. Its description in RNAcentral is "partial 28S ribosomal RNA". It matches the Rfam family "Eukaryotic large subunit ribosomal RNA", at positions 1 to 57 of the family's 3401-position model. Lineage: Eukaryota; Fungi; Ascomycota; Leotiomycetes; Myxotrichaceae. The record is from RNAcentral.